This 448-nucleotide ribosomal RNA is filed under the name uncultured organism. RNAcentral's name for it is "partial 16S ribosomal RNA". It matches the Rfam family "Bacterial small subunit ribosomal RNA", at positions 333 to 797 of the family's 1533-position model. The record is from RNAcentral.
ACACUCCUACGGGAGGCAGCAGUGGGGAAUAUUGGACAAUGGGCGCAAGCCUGAUCCAGCCAUGCCGCGUGAGUGAUGAAGGCCCUAGGGUUGUAAAGCUCUUUCACCGGUGAAGAUAAUGACGGUAACCGGAGAAGAAGCCCCGGCUAACUUCGUGCCAGCAGCCGCGGUAAUACGAAGGGGGCUAGCGUUGUUCGGAUUUACUGGGCGUAAAGCGCACGUAGGCGGACUAUUAAGUCAGGGGUGAAAUCCUGGGGCUCAACCCCGGAACUGCCUUUGAUACUGGUAGUCUUGAGUUCGAGAGAGGUGAGUGGAAUUCCGAGUGUAGAGGUGAAAUUCGUAGAUAUUCGGAGGAACACCAGUGGCGAAGGCGGCUCACUGGCUCGAUACUGACGCUGAGGUGCGAAAGCGUGGGGAGCAAACAGGAUUAGAAACCCCUGUAGUCCCA